CGCAUGGUUCGAAAUUGAAAGGCGGCUUCGGCUGUCACUUAUGGAUGGACCCGCGUCGCAUUAGCUAGUUGGUGAGGUAACGGCUCACCAAGGCAACGAUGCGUAGCCGACCUGAGAGGGUGAUCGGCCACACUGGGACUGAGACACGGCCCAGACUCCUACGGGAGGCAGCAGUAGGGAAUCUUCCGCAAUGGACGAAAGUCUGACGGAGCAACGCCGCGUGAGUGAUGAAGGCUUUCGGGUCGUAAAACUCUGUUGUUAGGGAAGAACAAGUGCUAGUUGAAUAAGCUGGCACCUUG
Molecule: ribosomal RNA, 299 nt
Filed under: Bacillus cereus
Lineage: Bacteria; Bacillati; Bacillota; Bacilli; Caryophanales; Bacillaceae
Description: partial 16S ribosomal RNA
Rfam family: Bacterial small subunit ribosomal RNA
Source: RNAcentral